Podarcis lilfordi (Lilford's wall lizard) is the source of this 79-nucleotide non-coding RNA. The record is from the annotation of a GenBank genome assembly. NCBI's taxonomy places the organism in Eukaryota, Metazoa, Chordata, Lepidosauria, Squamata, Lacertidae.
UGUUCUGAAGCAUAGCUUCGCUGGUAGAGCAUGAGACUCUUAAUCUCAGGGUUGUGGGUUGGAGCCCCACAUUGGACAA